This 468-nucleotide ribosomal RNA is filed under the name uncultured bacterium. Its description in RNAcentral is "partial 16S ribosomal RNA". It matches the Rfam family "Bacterial small subunit ribosomal RNA", at positions 28 to 507 of the family's 1533-position model. The record is from RNAcentral.
GACGAACGCUGGCGGCGUGCUUAACACAUGCAAGUCGAACGGUGAUGCUCCAGCUUGCUGGAGUGGAUCAGUGGCGAACGGGUGAGUAACACGUGAGCAACCUGCCCCAGACUCUGGAAUAAGCGCUGGAAACGGCGUCUAAUACUGGAUACGAAACUGGCCCGCAUGGGCAUGGUUUGGAAAGUUUGUCGGUUUGGGAUGGGCUCGCGGCCUAUCAGCUUGUUGGUGAGGUAAUGGCUCACCAAGGCGACGACGGGUAGCCGGCCUGAGAGGUCGACCGGCCACACUGGGACUGAGACACGGCCCAGACUCCUACGGGAGGCAGCAGUGGGGAAUAUUGCACAAUGGGCGAAAGCCUGAUGCAGCGACGCCGCGUGAGGGAUGACGGCCUUCGGGUUGUAAACCUCUUUCAGCAGGGAAGAAGCGAAAGUGACGGUACCUGCAGAAGAAGCACCGGCUAACUACGUG